UAGGGAAUCUUCCACAAUGGACGCAAGUCUGAUGGAGCAACGCCGCGUGAGUGAAGAAGGUUUUCGGACCGUAAAGCUCUGUUGUUGGUGAAGAAGGAUAGAGGUAGUAACUGGCCUUUAUUUGACGGUAAUCAACCAGAAAGUCACGGCUAACUACGUGCCAGCAGCCGCGGUAAUACGUAGGUGGCAAGCGUUGUCCGGAUUUAUUGGGCGUAAAGCGAGCGCAGGCGGAAGAAUAAGUCUGAUGUGAAAGCCCUCGGCUUAACCGAGGAAUUGCAUCGGAAACUGUUUUUCUUGAGUGCAGAAGAGGAGAGUAGAACUCCAUGUGUAGCGGUGGAAUGCGUAGAUAUAUGGAAGAAUACCAGUGGCGAAGGCGGCUCUCUGGUCUGCAACUGACGCUGAGGCUCGAAAGCAUGGGUAGCGAACAGGAUUAGAUACCCUGGUAGUCCAUGCCGUAAACGAUGAGUGCUAAGUGUUGGGAGGCUUCCGCCUCUCAGUGCUGCAGCUAACGCAUUAAGCACUCCGCCUGGGGGAGUACGACCGCAAGGU
This 549-nucleotide ribosomal RNA is filed under the name uncultured bacterium. Its description in RNAcentral is "partial 16S ribosomal RNA". It matches the Rfam family "Bacterial small subunit ribosomal RNA", at positions 355 to 894 of the family's 1533-position model. The record is from RNAcentral.